RNAcentral lists this ribosomal RNA (425 nucleotides) under uncultured bacterium. RNAcentral's name for it is "partial 16S ribosomal RNA". It matches the Rfam family "Bacterial small subunit ribosomal RNA", at positions 354 to 796 of the family's 1533-position model. The record is from RNAcentral.
GUGGGGAAUCUUAGACAAUGGGGGCAACCCUGAUCUAGCCAUGCCGCGUGAGUGAUGAAGGCCUUAGGGUUGUAAAGCUCUUUCAGUGGGGAAGAUAAUGACGGUACCCACAGAAGAAGCCCCGGCUAACUCCGUGCCAGCAGCCGCGGUAAUACGGAGGGGGCUAGCGUUGUUCGGAAUUACUGGGCGUAAAGCGCACGUAGGCGGAUCGGAAAGUUGGGGGUGAAAUCCCAGGGCUCAACCCUGGAACUGCCUUCAAAACUAUCGGUCUGGAGUCCGAGAGAGGUGAGUGGAAUUCCGAGUGUAGAGGUGAAAUUCGUAGAUAUUCGGAGGAACACCAGUGGCGAAGGCGGCUCACUGGCUCGGUACUGACGCUGAGGUGCGAAAGCGUGGGGAGCAAACAGGAUUAGAUACCCCUGUAGUCC